RNAcentral lists this long non-coding RNA (791 nucleotides) under Marmota monax (woodchuck). The record is from RNAcentral. Lineage: Eukaryota; Metazoa; Chordata; Mammalia; Rodentia; Sciuridae.
GUGACCUGGAAAGUAUUCAGGGAGAAUGGUGGAACCAUUGUGAUUUCUUCAAAAGUAUGUUUGAGUCUCCAUUCUUAUUAUUUGGAAAACUGCUUUAUGUACUUCAGCAUUUAAAGCACUGGAAUCCUUGGUCCUGGGUUGAAUAUGGAAACUCUGAAAAAUAAUGGCUUCUUGUAUGGACAAUGUCAGUGGAGACUGAGUAUAGAAUCCAGGUAGAGUCAGGACCCAUCGUUUGAACUACCAGAGCAGAAGCUAAGGAAAGGGACUCUGGUAGCCCAGAGGAGUGUCUCCAACAGGUUUUUCUGUUGGUAAGGGAAACACCUCCAGGAGCAAUCUCUGAACUCAUUCUGCUUUCCCCAGACUUAUCUACUUUUGAAGAUGCUGUUGAUGAGGCCCUGUACCAGGAGAUAGAUUACCUCAUGAAUCCAGAGAACGAGGACCUGCAGGACAGCCCAGGUGUGUUCCCUACCCUCCUUUCUGUUCACGAGUUGGUCAUGGAUAUGGCAGUCUUCAGGGAGCACAGACCCCAUCACUACCCAACCUAUAUGGCCAUCCUCCUCCUAAGGCAGGAGCUCCAAGCCCUCUUUCUACAAACCUAAAGCUUCCAUAUUUCUUCCGAACCAUGACAUGUGUGUUUGCCUGUGAUGUUUUUCUCCCUACCAGGAAAUCUGUCUGAUGACUCAGUGACUAAGUUGUCAUAUUACACAGGGCACCAUGAGGAGAAUGGAGACCCUGAAUCUGCCCCAGGUAGUAGAGACAGGUGUUCCCUUGAAUGGUGGGGUGAGGAGGAG